This 1284-nucleotide long non-coding RNA is filed under the name Bos grunniens (domestic yak). RNAcentral describes it as "lncRNA (ENSBGRG00000007205.1)". The record is from RNAcentral. Lineage: Eukaryota; Metazoa; Chordata; Mammalia; Artiodactyla; Bovidae.
ACCUCUGGUUCUAAGGACAGGUGGUCACCCCCAAAAUAAAGAGGUGAAACGAAGAGACCAAAGUGUCCCCCACAGAGCUUUCAGGCCCAGACUCACCCUGACCCUCACGGCCACCCAUCAGAGGUGGCGCUGCCCCCGCGGGUGCUCGCCCAGGGCCAGGCACUGAGCAAGUGCUUCCCACACCUGUCUCACUGGUCCUCCCCGUACCCAGAUACCCACGGUCGCUGGUGUUGGGGGGUGAAUUUUAACAAGGUCCCUCUUUAGGCUAAAGGAUUAAAAAAAGGUGCUGCCCAGGAGGGCACGGGGUAUGGCGCGCAGAAGGCCUCUUUGUGAUUUAAAAAAAGGCAUCUCCUACAGCCCAUUGGCCAGGGCCUCAAGCAGCACCCUGGCUUUGCGCAAGCUGUUACUCCCUCCAUCUUCCCUGAGGGAUGCAGAGGAAGGGGAACCCACCUGAGGUCACAGCUAGUCAGUCACCACAUGUGGGAUUUGAACCCAGGUCUUGAAAACCUAGGUGAAACUUUGCUCUUCGGCUUCCAAAGGUUCAUGCACUGGCGCGCCUUCAACCAGAUGUGUAUUCACAGUAUGCAAGCUGGAGGGGCCUGGGGCAAGCCUAGGGAUACUGACAUUCUCUUGAAGGGUCUUCCAGUCUCAGAGGAAAUGCCCCACCUUCAAGGAAGGGGGAAAGAACUGUGUCCUCUGGAGCUUCAGUCUGAGGAGGGAGAUAUAGCCCACCUCAAGAAGAUCAGUCUGAGGGGGGAGACAAGGCCUGUCCUCAGGGAGCCCAGUCUGAGGGGGCAGACUUGGCCUGUCCUCAGAGAGCAUAAUCUGAGAGAGGAGACAUGGCCUGUCCACAGGGAGCCCAGUCUGAGGGGAAACACUUGGUCUGCCCUCAGGGAGCAGAGUCUGAGUGGGGAGACAUGCCCUGUCCACAGGGAGCCCAGUCUGAAUGGGGAGACAUAACCUGUCCUCAGGGAGCCCAGUCUGAGUGGGGAGACAUAACCUGUCCUCAGGGAGCCCAGUCUGAGGGGCAGACUUGGCCUGUCCUCAGAGAGCAUAAUCUGAGAGAGGAGACAUGGCCUGUCCACAGGAGCCCAGUCUGAGGGAAACACUUGGUCUGCCCUCAGGAAGCAGAGUCUGAGUGGGGAGACAUGCCCUGUCCACAGGGAGCCCAGUCUGAGUGGGGAGACAUAACCUGUCCUCAGGGAGCCCAGUCUGAGAGGGGAGACAUGGCCUGUCCACAGAGAGCCCAGACUGAGGGCACAGCAUGAGGGACUGGACAUACUU